UACGAGGGGUGCAAGCGUUGCUCGGAAUUAUUGGGCGUAAAGGGUAGGUAGGUGGUCUGAUUUGUCUGGGGUGAAAGCCUUGGGCUUAACUCAAGAAGUGCCCCAGAAACGGUCAGACUGGAGUCUCGGAGAGGGUCGUGGAAUUCCCGGUGUAGCGGUGAAAUGCGUAGAGAUCGGGAGGAACACCAGCGGCGAAGGCGGCGACCUGGACGAGCACUGACACUCAACUACGAAAGCGUGGGGAGCAAACAGG
Molecule: ribosomal RNA, 253 nt
Filed under: uncultured bacterium
Lineage: Bacteria
Description: partial 16S ribosomal RNA
Rfam family: Bacterial small subunit ribosomal RNA
Source: RNAcentral